This 160-nucleotide ribosomal RNA is filed under the name Spongopyle osculosa. Its description in RNAcentral is "5.8S ribosomal RNA". It matches the Rfam family "5.8S ribosomal RNA". Rfam says of the family: 5.8S ribosomal RNA (5.8S rRNA) is a component of the large subunit of the eukaryotic ribosome. The record is from RNAcentral. Lineage: Eukaryota; Polycystinea; Spumellaria; Spongodiscidae.
AUAUCUUUCAGCGAUGGAUCUCUUGGUUCCCGCAACGAUGAAGAACGCCGCGAAACGCGAUAUGUAAUGUGAAUUGCAGGAUUAAGUGAAUCAUCAAAUCUUUGAACGCGAAUUGCGCUUGGACCCUCGGGUUUGAGCAUACCUGGAUCAGUCUUUUUUU